RNAcentral lists this transfer RNA (69 nucleotides) under Tepidiforma flava. RNAcentral describes it as "tRNA-Gly". It matches the Rfam family "tRNA". From Rfam's summary of the family: Transfer RNA (tRNA) molecules are approximately 80 nucleotides in length. Their secondary structure includes four short double-helical elements and three loops (D, anti-codon, and T loops). Lineage: Bacteria; Bacillati; Chloroflexota; Tepidiformia; Tepidiformales; Tepidiformaceae. The record is from RNAcentral.
GCGGCUGCUGAGCAGUAACGCAACCUUCCCAAGGUUGAGACGCGGGUUCGAUUCCCGCCAUCCGCUCCA